CUGUACUAGAUGGGGAGGUAGCGGUGCCCUGUAACCUGCAAUCCGCUAUAGCAGGGUUGAAUUCCAGCUUAGAGGCUUAUAAUUUGCAGAGCAGCCCUAAAUAAGUGGUGUUGACACUUAGGUCCUGCGCAACGAAAGCUCAUGAACUCCGUCAGAUCAGGAAUGAAGCAGCGGUAAGUGAUCACUUUCGUGUGCCGCGGGGGCGCCUAAGUCGAGCUAACUGUUUAGGUAACGUCUGUGAAUGUAAGUCGAUAGUUGGUGUACAG
RNAcentral lists this signal recognition particle RNA (266 nucleotides) under Peptostreptococcaceae bacterium. RNAcentral describes it as "signal recognition particle sRNA large type". It matches the Rfam family "Bacterial large signal recognition particle RNA". Rfam says of the family: The signal recognition particle (SRP) is a universally conserved ribonucleoprotein involved in the co-translational targeting of proteins to membranes. Lineage: Bacteria; Bacillati; Bacillota; Clostridia; Peptostreptococcales; Peptostreptococcaceae. RNAcentral also lists the same sequence under 1 other name. The record is from RNAcentral.